GUAGUCGAGUGGGUAAAGUGCUUUUAGCUAUUUACCAAAAGUCGAUGGUUCGAUUCCAUCGUGGAACA
This is a non-coding RNA of Rhamnusium bicolor, 68 nucleotides long. Lineage: Eukaryota; Metazoa; Arthropoda; Insecta; Coleoptera; Cerambycidae. The record is from the annotation of a GenBank genome assembly.